Molecule: ribosomal RNA, 253 nt
Filed under: uncultured bacterium
Lineage: Bacteria
Description: partial 16S ribosomal RNA
Rfam family: Bacterial small subunit ribosomal RNA
Source: RNAcentral
UACGUAGGGUGCAAGCGUUGUCCGGAAUUAUUGGGCGUAAAGAGCUCGUAGGCGGUCUGUCGCGUCUGCUGUGAAAUCCCGAGGCUCAACCUCGGGCUUGCAGUGGGUACGGGCAGGCUAGAGUGCGGUAGGGGAGAAUGGAACUCCUGGUGUAGCGGUGGAAUGCGCAGAUAUCGGGAAGAACACCGAUGGCGAAGGCAGUUCUCUGGGCCGUAACUGACGCUGAGGAGCGAAAGCGUGGGGAGCGAACAGG